Non-coding RNA from Coregonus clupeaformis (lake whitefish), 558 nucleotides. The record is from the annotation of a RefSeq genome assembly. Lineage: Eukaryota; Metazoa; Chordata; Actinopteri; Salmoniformes; Salmonidae.
GAUAACUAAACAUUUGCUUCUUCAAUUUCAAAUUGUGUGGCCCUGUAUGUUGAUAUGUUCCUACAACUGCUUCAUCAAAUGCUUGUGAUGAAUACAUGGCUUUUCAUAUUUUUCACCCACUUAGUUUUACUUUAGUUUUAACUCUCUUCAGGUUCAGAGUCCAACAGCAUGUCUGUGCUCCAGCAGCCAGUGUUUGAGUCAGUCCAGCCAGGAGACUCUGUGACUCUGAACUGUACAAUACACAUUGAGACCUGUGUAGGACAACACAGUGUCUAUUGGUUCAGACAUGGCUCAGGAGAAUCCCAUCCAGGAAUAAUUUAUACCCAUGGAGACAGGGGUGAUCAGUGUGAGAACAGCCCUGAGGUUGGGUCUCCUACACAGAGCUGUGUCUACAAUCUCCCCAAGAGGAACCUCAACCUCUCUGAUGCUGGGACUUACUACUGUGCUGUGGCCUCAUGUGGGGAGAUACUGUUUGGGAACGGGACCAAGCUGGACAUUGACCAUGGUUGUAAGGAGGACCAUCUUCCUUUCAUGUACUUCCUGAAGCGUAUUGGAUGA